Molecule: non-coding RNA, 70 nt
Organism: Pleodorina starrii
Lineage: Eukaryota; Viridiplantae; Chlorophyta; Chlorophyceae; Chlamydomonadales; Volvocaceae
Source: the annotation of a GenBank genome assembly
GCACCAGUGGUAUAGUCUAGCAUAGGUCCUUGCCACGGGCCAGACCCGAGUUCGAUUCUCGGCUGGUGCA